CAGUAGCCGCGGUAAUACGAAGGGUGCAAGCGUUACUCGGAAUUACUGGGCGUAAAGCGUGUGUAGGUGGUUGUUUAAGUCUGUCGUGAAAGCCCUGGGCUCAACCUGGGAAUUGCGAUGGAUACUGGGCGACUAGAGUGCGGUAGAGGAUAGUGGAAUUUCCGGUGUAGCAGUAAAAUGCGUAGAGAUCGGAAGGAACAUCUGUGGCGAAGGCGACUAUCUGGGCCAACACUGACACUGAGACACGAAAGCGUGGGGAGCAAACAGGAUUAGAUACCCCCGUAGUCCCUGUCUCUUAUAC
Molecule: ribosomal RNA, 301 nt
Filed under: uncultured bacterium
Lineage: Bacteria
Description: partial 16S ribosomal RNA
Rfam family: Bacterial small subunit ribosomal RNA
Source: RNAcentral